GGCCUGGUGGUCUAGUAGUAUGAUUCCUUCUUAGGGCUGUGUUUCAGCAAUAUUGGAGGAGGUCCCGGGUUCAAUUCCCGGCCAGGCCC
Trametes elegans is the source of this 89-nucleotide non-coding RNA. NCBI's taxonomy places the organism in Eukaryota, Fungi, Basidiomycota, Agaricomycetes, Polyporales, Polyporaceae. The record is from the annotation of a GenBank genome assembly.